This 450-nucleotide ribosomal RNA is filed under the name uncultured bacterium. RNAcentral's name for it is "partial 16S ribosomal RNA". It matches the Rfam family "Bacterial small subunit ribosomal RNA", at positions 338 to 795 of the family's 1533-position model. The record is from RNAcentral.
CCUACGGGGGGCUGCAGUGGGGAAUAUUGGACAAUGGGCGCAAGCCUGAUCCAGCCACGCCGCGUGAGUGAUGAAGGCCUUCGGGUCGUAAAGCUCUGUGGGGAGGGACGAACCGCCACCGGUUAAUACCCGGUGGCAUGACGGUACCUCCUUAGCAAGCACCGGCUAACUUCGUGCCAGCAGCCGCGGUAAUACGAAGGGUGCAAACUUUGCUGUGAAGCGUACGGCGUAAAGCUCACGUGUCCGAAGUGAAAUCCCUCGGCUCAAGCAAGGAAGGGCUUUCGAAACUGCUGAGCUUGAGUACUUAAGAGGAUCGCGGAAUUCCCGGUGUAGAGGUGAAAUUCGUAGAUAUCGGGAGGAACACCAGUGGCGAAGGCGGCGAUCUGGGAAGAUACUGACGCUGAGGUGCGAAAGCGAGGGGAGCAAACAGGAUUAGAUACCCUUGUAGUC